CCUACGGGAGGCAGCAGUGAGGAAUAUUGGUCAAUGGUCGGGAGACUGAACCAGCCAAGCCGCGUGAGGGAUGAAGGUACAGAGUAUCGUAAACCUCUUUUGUCAGGGAACAAAGGCGGGGACGUGUCCCCGGAUGAGAGUACCUGAAGAAAAAGCAUCGGCUAACUCCGUGCCAGCAGCCGCGGUAAUACGGAGGAUGCGAGCGUUAUCCGGAUUUAUUGGGUUUAAAGGGUGCGCAGGCGGUCGGUAAAGUCAGCGGUAAAAGUCCGGGGCUCAACCCCGGCCAGCCGUUGAAACUGGCAGUCUUGAGUGGGAGAGAAGUAUGCGGAAUGCGCGGUGUAGCGGUGAAAUGCAUAGAUAUCGCGCAGAACUCCGAUUGCGAAGGCAGCAUGCCGGCGCCACACUGACGCUGAGGCACGAAAGCGUGGGUAUCGAACAGGAUUAGAUACCCGUGUAGUC
Molecule: ribosomal RNA, 459 nt
Filed under: uncultured bacterium
Lineage: Bacteria
Description: partial 16S ribosomal RNA
Rfam family: Bacterial small subunit ribosomal RNA
Source: RNAcentral